AUGCAGAGGCGGAGGCCGGGAUUCCACCAUGUUGAAGAGACAGAGAACAAUGUAGUGCGCAGCUUGUUCUGGACAGACUCCUUGUGUAAGAUGAAUUAUGAUCUAUAUGGAGAUUUCGUGUCUUUUGACACGACAUUCUCAACGAAUAUAUAUGGCUUGCCAUUUGCACCAAUUAUAGGUGUCGACAACCACGGGUCGACCGUCCUGUUUGGAGUAGGCCUUUUGAAGGAUGAGAAAAUAGGGUCAUUCAAGUGGCUCCUAAGCACGUUUGUCGAGGCAAUGGGAGGUCAAGAGCCGAAAUACAUAAUAACAGACCAGGACCAGGCGAUGAAGACUGCAAUAAAGGAAGCUCUUCCGAGAACGAGGCACAGGAUUUGCUGGUGGCAUAUUAGGAAGAACCUGAAGGAA
RNAcentral lists this ribosomal RNA (408 nucleotides) under Triticum aestivum (bread wheat). RNAcentral's name for it is "partial small subunit ribosomal RNA". The record is from RNAcentral. Lineage: Eukaryota; Viridiplantae; Streptophyta; Magnoliopsida; Poales; Poaceae.